This 253-nucleotide ribosomal RNA is filed under the name uncultured bacterium. RNAcentral's name for it is "partial 16S ribosomal RNA". It matches the Rfam family "Bacterial small subunit ribosomal RNA", at positions 524 to 776 of the family's 1533-position model. The record is from RNAcentral.
UACGUAGGUGGCAAGCGUUGUUCGGAAUUAUUGGGCGUAAAGGGCGCGUAGGCGGCCAGGUAGGUCUGGUGUGAAAACUCGAGGCUUAACCUCGAGAUGUCAUCGGAAACCAUCUGGCUAGAGUCCGGAAGAGGAGAGUGGAAUUCCUGGUGUAGCGGUGAAAUGCGCAGAUAUCAGGAAGAACACCAAUGGCGAAAGCAGCUCUCUGGGACGGUACUGACGCUGAGACGCGAAAGCGUGGGGAGCGAACAGG